RNAcentral lists this ribosomal RNA (492 nucleotides) under uncultured bacterium. Its description in RNAcentral is "partial 16S ribosomal RNA". It matches the Rfam family "Bacterial small subunit ribosomal RNA", at positions 29 to 507 of the family's 1533-position model. The record is from RNAcentral.
AGUGAACGCUGGCGGUAGGCCUAACACAUGCAAGUCGAACGGCAGCACAGUAAGAGCUUGCUCUUACGGGUGGCGAGUGGCGGACGGGUGAGGAAUACAUCGGAAUCUACUUUUUCGUGGGGGAUAACGUAGGGAAACUUACGCUAAUACCGCAUACGACCUACGGGUGAAAGCAGGGGAUCUUCGGACCUUGCGCGAUUGAAUGAGCCGAUGUCGGAUUAGCUAGUUGGCGGGGUAAAGGCCCGCCAAGGCGACGAUCCGUAGCUGGUCUGAGAGGAUGAUCAGCCACACUGGAACUGAGACACGGUCCAGACUCCUACGGGAGGCAGCAGUGGGGAAUAUUGGACAAUGGGCGCAAGCCUGAUCCAGCCAUACCGCGUGGGUGAAGAAGGCCUUCGGGUUGUAAAGCCCUUUUGUUGGGAAAGAAAAGCAGCAGGUUAAUACCCCGCUGUUCUGACGGUACCCAAAGAAUAAGCACCGGCUAACCUCGUG